Pantherophis guttatus is the source of this 486-nucleotide non-coding RNA. NCBI's taxonomy places the organism in Eukaryota, Metazoa, Chordata, Lepidosauria, Squamata, Colubridae. The record is from the annotation of a RefSeq genome assembly.
UCCCUAAAAGAAUAUUCCUUGCCAAAGCUGACCAUGAGUUGGGCUGUGAUUUUCUUAGCACUCUUCAUUUACUGCACAGGUAUUGACUGUCAAGAAAGUUGGAUUCAGCCUCCCUCCAGCUCCGUGUCCCCAGGUGGAACCAUUGCGAUCUCCUGCAUAACCCAAGUUACUGGUACUAUUUACUGGCAUCAACAGAAACCAGGAAAAUCCCCUCGUUUUGUCCACUGUGAUGGCUGCAGUAACAGGGGAGAAGGGAUCCCAAAUCGGUUCACUGCCACCAGAUCUGGAACUACAGGAUCUUUAAGCAUCACCAAUGCACAGGCUGAAGACGAGGCAGAUUAUUAUUGUGGUAGAUGGAACAGUGCAGGCAACGCGUUCCACGGUGGAAGCCUCUCUGUCCCCAUCAAGGAGGAUGAUGGGUACAGGAGCAUGGAAGAGGAAGAUGCAGGGGAAGCCCAGGGCAUCAUCAGCCCCCUUCUGGUUUGA